Molecule: ribosomal RNA, 435 nt
Filed under: uncultured bacterium
Lineage: Bacteria
Description: partial 16S ribosomal RNA
Rfam family: Bacterial small subunit ribosomal RNA
Source: RNAcentral
AGCGAACGCUGGCGGCAGGCUUAACACAUGCAAGUCGAGCGGGCGUAGCAAUACGUCAGCGGCAGACGGGUGAGUAACGCGUGGGAACGUACCUUUUGGUUCGGAACAACACAGGGAAACUUGUGCUAAUACCGGAUAAGCCCUUACGGGGAAAGAUUUAUCGCCGAAAGAUCGGCCCGCGUCUGAUUAGCUAGUUGGUGAGGUAACGGCUCACCAAGGCGACGAUCAGUAGCUGGUCUGAGAGGAGGAUCAGCCACAUUGGGACUGAGACACGGCCCAAACUCCUACGGGAGGCAGCAGUGGGGAAUAUUGGACAAUGGGGGCAACCCUGAUACAGCCAUGCCGCGUGAGUGAUGAAGGCCCUAGGGUUGUAAAGCUCUUUUGUGCGGGAAGAUAAUGACGGUACCGCAAGAAUAAGCCCCGGCUAACUUCGUG